AAGGCCUUAAGUUAACAAAACUAAUAACCUUCAAAGCUAUAAAUAAAGGGCAUCCUUUAGGCCUUG
Molecule: transfer RNA, 66 nt
Filed under: Astratotermes sp. A TB-2017
Lineage: Eukaryota; Metazoa; Arthropoda; Insecta; Blattodea; Termitidae
Also listed under: 1 other name
Description: tRNA-Trp
Source: RNAcentral